GACGAACGCUGGCGGCGUGCCUAAUACAUGCAAGUCGAACGCAGUGGGGACGGGUGAGUAACACGUGGGUAACCUCCCAUCAGAGGGGAUAACACUUGGAAACAGGUGCUAAACCGAUACUGAUGGAUGGACCCGCGGUGCAUUAGCUAGUUGGUGAGGUAACGGAUCACCACGGCCACGAUGCAUAGCCGACCGGAGAGGGGGAUCGGCCACAUGGGGACGGAUACACGGCCCAGCCUCCUACGGGAGGCAGCAGUAGGGAAUCUUCGGCAAUGGACGAAAGUCGGACCGAGCAACGCCGCGUGAGUGAAGAAGGUUUUCGGAUCGUAAAACUCUGUUUUUAGAGAAGCGGUAUCUAACCAGAAAGCCACGGCUAACUACGUGCCAGCCGCCGCGGUAAUUC
Molecule: ribosomal RNA, 403 nt
Filed under: uncultured bacterium
Lineage: Bacteria
Description: partial 16S ribosomal RNA
Rfam family: Bacterial small subunit ribosomal RNA
Source: RNAcentral